Molecule: ribosomal RNA, 506 nt
Filed under: uncultured Alphaproteobacteria bacterium
Lineage: Bacteria; Pseudomonadati; Pseudomonadota; Alphaproteobacteria
Description: bacterial SSU rRNA
Rfam family: Bacterial small subunit ribosomal RNA
Source: RNAcentral
GGCGGCAGGCCUAACACAUGCAAGUCGAGCGCCCCGCAAGGGGAGCGGCGGACGGGUGAGUAACGCGUGGGAAUUUUUCCUGGAGUACGGAACAACCGAGGGAAACUUCGGCUAAUACCGUAUGAUGCCGAGAGGCCAAAGAUUUAUCGCUCUGGGGUGAGCCCGCGUCAGAUUAGGUAGUUGGUGGGGUAAAGGCCUACCAAGCCUGCGAUCUGUAGCUGGUCUGAGAGGACGAUCAGCCACACUGGGACUGAGACACGGCCCAGACUCCUACGGGAGGCAGCAGUGGGGAAUCUUGCGCAAUGGGCGAAAGCCUGACGCAGCCAUGCCGCGUGAGUGAAGAAGGUCUUAGGAUUGUAAAGCUCUUUCGCCCGUGACGAUNAUGACGGUAACGGGAGAAGAAGCCCCGGCUAACUUCGUGCCAGCAGCCGCGGUAAUACGAAGGGGGCUAGCGUUGUUCGGAAUUACUGGGCGUAAAGCGCGCGUANGCGGUUUUGCAAGCCAGA